RNAcentral lists this long non-coding RNA (530 nucleotides) under Olea europaea subsp. europaea. The record is from RNAcentral. Lineage: Eukaryota; Viridiplantae; Streptophyta; Magnoliopsida; Lamiales; Oleaceae.
UUUUCUUUUGGGGAUGUGGUUUUUGUUUUCCUCAAACAAGGGUGAUAUUUUUCAUACCAAUCAAACACAUUCUUAAAAUUGGUUUGGCCUCUAUUAAUUUUCAUUUUAUUUUUUUCUCUCCUAUUUUCAAUUACACAAUCUUCUAUAAAAUGAUAUUACAUAUAAAUAAAAAAACUCUUCUUUUUUCAAUCAGUCAUUUAAAAAAAAAAAAAUACUAUUCUACCCAUUUUCAUUUCUACAAAAUGGGGCAAGCCUGGGCUUAGAGAAAAUGACAUUUCGAUUUUCAUGGUGAAAAGAGGUGGUGGCUGUUAUCUUUUUAUGGUGGUAAAAGUACUUUGAUUAGUAGCUUCAAGUCGUGUCAGCCCGACCCAUAUCAGGGCGGCCCUAAGCAAGAUCGGAUAUGAGGCUGGCCCCAGAAGUAGGCAAGUAGCCGCCUCAAGCCCAUAGUUUUUCAAGAGGUUUGUUUUGGAAAUUUUAAAAUAUUUAUGUAUAAGACAUAAAAUGUUAGUUUGGUGAUAUUAAAGUCUUAG